GGCGCUUAUGAUUAUAAGUCAUAUGCACCGAUCCAGUGCACGUUCAUGUAUAAUGCAUAGUUAACAGCACAUUAUAUAUAUACAAAGGCUCGUAAACCUCUCGUAACGUCAGCGGUCCAAAAUGGCACGCGAUCGCGAGUGUUUACGUCGUGCGAGCCGCUGGAGUUCAGCUGUUUGGUAGUUGCAGCCCAGAGCCGUCCGCCGUUGCGCUUCGCUUGUUUGUCCGCAUGCGCACUCUUUUUUCUCUCCUGAUUUUAACACCAUGAAAAUAUUUUUUGAGAAACUGAAAGCACAAUCAGUUCUCUGCUUUAGUUUUGUCCGUCAUUGUACCCAAGUCCAAGGUGCAUCCCUGACAACAGUCUUCCACUCUUGGAAUACCGUGUGCAAAUAAAUAAGUAAAGUCUGUCUUCAGUUUAGUCGAUCACGCUUAUUACUCCUGGCACUUCACCUCCUCCUUGACUGUUCGUUUACUACUAAUACACCGAAACAAGCCCUAAGUCAGAACUGGAGUUCACUAUUAAACGGCGUGAUUCAAACGCACAGAGAGCAGGACAGUCUGCUGUAGAACUCUCUGGAACCAAGAAUUCUGGAAUUUUACCUUUCGCUGAAAAGAUGGCACACAUGUUCCCCCCAGAAAAUGUAAUACUUAGUAUAUUUCAUUCCAAAUUAUCAGUAGAUGCCUGCCAUUUACUCUAAGGUCAGUAUGAAAUAUCCUUAUGGCAAUCGCAGUGUCUCAGAAUAAUCAAUUUUUCUAGCACAGGUGCUCUUAAAUGGUGUCUUGUGGUGAUUUGCAUUUUAAGAAACGUGCUAUUAUAGAUUGUGGUGAAGAAUGAGUCAGUGUUGAAAACCAGUUAAGAAGUUCAUAGGUGGGCAAUUCUGUAGAUAAAGAAGAGCUCAUUGGCCGCUAAACAGCAGCAGUCACUUCAGUGUUGCUCUGAGGAGGGGAUGCCUGCUACUGUCUUUUGGUGAUGCAAAGCUGAAGAGGUUGAUGGAAAUUAUGGAGUAAACUGAAAAGUGAAGUAAAACUCUUGAGGUAUCCUAUGAGAAUGUUCAGACAACUUUAUGAUAAAUUACUAGGAAUAAAAAAAUUGCCUUGUAAAACUUAUUGUGUAUCCCUCAUUGUGCAGGUUCUCAGUCACUGCCUGAUUCUUAAAAUAUGAAAAUAUAACAAGCGGUGCUGGUAUGAGGCUUCUAUUUGUUGUGAAGCACAGUAUUAGGCUAAUGGGAGAGAUGUAGCUUUAAAAGUUCUAUUUGUCUCCCAACUGUUGUGGUAUAUGGCCGGCCGUUCAUCCCGGCCAAUACCCCCACGCUGACAGAUGGAGUUCUCCCGACAACAUGGAGGUGCCCCGAAUUCCAGCAGGGCAUUAUGGACCUUGGAGUUUUUCUUCACAGCCCAGCUGGAUACCGUGGGCGCCGCCAGGGGACGCUGUAAGGAGGCCUAGGGACUUAUAUUAUCCAUAUGGCCCAGAAGUAAUUCACAAUCAUGGAAACGGAAGAAAUUAUAUACUUCUGGGCUGAGGAGAAGAGGAGUUUUGAUCUGACCCGGAAGUGCCAAGAAUCACAUGGACUGGGAGGAUC
This is a long non-coding RNA of Polypterus senegalus (gray bichir), 1578 nucleotides long. RefSeq lists it as uncharacterized. The record is from RefSeq and is a predicted model, not a curated record. NCBI's taxonomy places the organism in Eukaryota, Metazoa, Chordata, Cladistia, Polypteriformes, Polypteridae. The transcript has 3 exons.